Molecule: ribosomal RNA, 292 nt
Filed under: uncultured prokaryote
Description: partial 16S ribosomal RNA
Rfam family: Bacterial small subunit ribosomal RNA
Source: RNAcentral
GUGCCAGCAGCCGCGGUAAUACGGAGGGUGCGAGCGUUAAUCGGAAUUACUGGGCGUAAAGCGCAUGCAGGCGGGCUGUUAAGUCAGAUGUGAAAGCCCGGGGCUUAACCUCGGAAUUGCAGUUGAAACUGGCAGGCUAGAGUGUUGUAGAGGGGGGUAGAAUUUCUGGUGUAGCGGUGAAAUGCGUAGAGAUCUGAAGGAAUACCAGUGGCGAAGGCAGCCCCCUGGACAAAGACUGACGCUCAGAUGCGAAAGCGUGGGGAGCAAACAGGAUUAGAUACCCCCGUAGUCC